RNAcentral lists this ribosomal RNA (468 nucleotides) under uncultured bacterium. Its description in RNAcentral is "partial 16S ribosomal RNA". It matches the Rfam family "Bacterial small subunit ribosomal RNA", at positions 28 to 507 of the family's 1533-position model. The record is from RNAcentral.
GACGAACGCUGGCGGCGUGCUUAACACAUGCAAGUCGAACGGAAAGGCCCUGCUUUUGUGGGGUGCUCGAGUGGCGAACGGGUGAGUAACACGUGAGUAACCUGCCCUUGACUUCGGGAUAACUUCAGGAAACUGGGGCUAAUACCGGAUAGGAGCUCCUGCUGCAUGGUGGGGGUUGGAAAGUUUCGGCGGUUGGGGAUGGACUCGCGGCUUAUCAGCUUGUUGGUGGGGUAGUGGCUUACCAAGGCUUUGACGGGUAGCCGGCCUGAGAGGGUGACCGGCCACAUUGGGACUGAGAUACGGCCCAGACUCCUACGGGAGGCAGCAGUGGGGAAUAUUGCACAAUGGGCGGAAGCCUGAUGCAGCAACGCCGCGUGCGGGAUGACGGCCUUCGGGUUGUAAACCGCUUUCGCCUGUGACGAAGCGUGAGUGACGGUAACGGGUAAAGAAGCACCGGCUAACUACGUG